AGAUUGAACGCUGGCGGCAUGCCUUACACAUGCAAGUCGAACGGCAGCACGGGAGCAAUCCUGGUGGCGAGUGGCGAACGGGUGAGUAAUACAUCGGAACGUGCCCAAUCGUGGGGGAUAACGCAGCGAAAGCUGUGCUAAUACCGCAUAAGAUCUACGGAUGAAAGCAGGGGAUCGUAAGACCUUGCGCGAAUGGAGCGGCCGAUGGCAGAUUAGGCAGUUGGUGAGGUAAUGGCUCACCAAGGCGACGAUCCGUAACUGGUCUGAGAGGAUGAUCAGUCACACUGGAACUGAGACACGGUCCAGACUCCUACGGGAGCAGCAGGUGGGGAAUAUU
RNAcentral lists this ribosomal RNA (337 nucleotides) under uncultured soil bacterium. Its description in RNAcentral is "bacterial SSU rRNA". It matches the Rfam family "Bacterial small subunit ribosomal RNA", at positions 26 to 365 of the family's 1533-position model. The record is from RNAcentral.